AUACAUGAGCAAAAUCUCAACUUUUUUAGAAGAGAUGCAUUUAUUAGAUAAAAAACCAAUACAUGCCUUUAAAGUAUGGAAUUUGGUGAUUUACAAUAACUUAGCAAAUCGCAUAGUGAAAACAGGCGAUAAAUCAUUCAAGUCUCUGACCUAUCAGCUUUCGACGGUAUGGUAUUGGCUUACCGUGGCAGUGACGGUUAACGGGGGAUUAGGGUUCGAUUCCGGAGAGGGAGCCUGAGAAACGGCUACCACAUCUAAGGAAGGCAGCAGGCGCGCAAAUUACCCAAUUCUAACAGCAUAAGAGAGGUAGUGACAAGAAAUAACAAUACAAGGCAGUUAAAAUGCUUUGUAAUUGGAAUGAUAGAAAUUUAAACACUUUUUAAAGUAUCAAUUGGAGGGCAAGUCUGGUGCCAGCAGCCGCGGUAAUUCCAGCUCCAAUAGCGUAUAUUAAAAUUGUUGCAGUUAAAAAGCUCGUAGUUGAAUUUCUGCUAAAAAUAACCGGUCUGCUUUUAAUAAGGGUGGUAUCUUGGUGUGUUUUUAGCAAUAAUGUCCUUUGAAAUGUUUUUUACUUCAUUGUAAUAAAUUAUUUUCAGGAUUUUUACUUUGAGAAAAUUAGAGUGUUUCUAGCAGGCUAACGCUUUGAAUACUGCAGCAUGGAAUAAUAAAAUAGGAUUUUGGUUCUACAUUAUUGGUUUUAAGA
Molecule: ribosomal RNA, 700 nt
Filed under: Hepatozoon felis
Lineage: Eukaryota; Apicomplexa; Hepatozoidae
Description: bacterial SSU rRNA
Rfam family: Eukaryotic small subunit ribosomal RNA
Source: RNAcentral